Molecule: unclassified non-coding RNA, 909 nt
Filed under: Zea mays
Lineage: Eukaryota; Viridiplantae; Streptophyta; Magnoliopsida; Poales; Poaceae
Description: misc RNA Zm00001eb391980
Source: RNAcentral
CGCAGUACUCCUAACACCCCCUACUACCAUGCAUGCACUGAAAUGCACCUCCUCUCAUCUCAUCCAGCCAAGACCACUUGGCCCUGCACCUAGCUACCGCUGCUACUCGAUCUCCACUACUGGCACCUACAGUACACGAAGCUACUAGCCCUAGCUAUCUAGAUGCUCUUCUUGUUGGGCCCCGUGCAGGCCACCCUCCGGCGCUUCUUCUUCUGGGCGGGCGGCGGCGGCGGAGGCGCGGGGCGCGGGCGCCAGAAGAGCUGCUCCAGCUCCUCCAGCCGCAGGCUGAGCACUUCGACCUCGAACAGGCGCUUCCGGCACGCCGCGGGCGCCCGCGGCUUCCGCGGCGCCGGCGGGCACGUCCCCGGCGGCUUCACCUGGCUCUCGCCGCCCGUCGGCGUCCGGCAGCGGUAGUCCUGAUCCUCCUGCCACAUGGUCGCGGCGGCGGCGCUGUCGUCCGCCCCUGCCCCGUGCAGGAGGAGCGUCGGCGGCGAGAACGCCGGCGGCGCUGGCUUGUAGAACUCCGGCGACGCGGACAUGGCGGGGAUAUGGAUUGCUCGCUAGCUGGUUCUUUUUUCGAGAGAAGAGAAGAGGAGAGUGGUGGGUGGGUGUGGAUUGGAGGAGAGAAACGAGGAAGCGGCGGCGGGGAGGACGGGAGGUUGCUUGAGACACUUGGUCACUUCUCCCUGGGUCUGCUUCUUGUUCUGGGAGAAAGGAAAGGGCCCUUCGUUUCGGCCCUUUUGUAUUGGGCGGGGUGCCCCCUUUUUUUUUGGUACUACCCAGCGCGUUCGAAUGAUGCGGUUAUUGCAUUUAGGUCCUUGAUGGUACCCGCGCACACAUGCAUGGCAUGGAUACUCUCCACUGGGCCACCACCACUCGCUUCAAUUAUUCGGUGGCUCGAUACAGUGG